GACUCUGUGGCGCAAUUGGUAGCGCAUCUGAUUCCAGUCCAGAAGGUUAUCCGUUCGAGUCGGGUCAGGGUCA
Molecule: non-coding RNA, 73 nt
Organism: Biscogniauxia sp. FL1348
Lineage: Eukaryota; Fungi; Ascomycota; Sordariomycetes; Xylariales; Xylariaceae
Source: the annotation of a GenBank genome assembly